This 463-nucleotide ribosomal RNA is filed under the name uncultured bacterium. Its description in RNAcentral is "partial 16S ribosomal RNA". It matches the Rfam family "Bacterial small subunit ribosomal RNA", at positions 28 to 507 of the family's 1533-position model. The record is from RNAcentral.
GAUGAACGCUGACAGAAUGCUUAACACAUGCAAGUCUUUGGUGAAGCUGUGCUUGCACCGCCUAGCCAAGGCGGACGGGUGAGUAACGCGUAAGGAACUUGCCCUGCAGUCAGGGAUAACAGACGGAAACGACUGAUAAGACCUGGUAAAGUCAGGCGGACUCAUGUCCAGCCUGAUGAAAAGAGAUGCUGCAGGAGAGCCUUGCGUCCUAUUAGCUUGUUGGUGGGGUAACGGCCCACCAAGGCAAUGAUAGGUAGCCGGCCUGAGAGGGUGGACGGCCACAAGGGGACUGAGAUACGGCCCUUACUCCUACGGGAGGCAGCAGUGGGGAAUAUUGGACAAUGGGGGCAACCCUGAUCCAGCAAUUCUGUGUGCACGAUGAGGGUUUUCGGAUUGUAAAGUGCUUUCAGCAGGGAAGAAAAAAAUGACGGUACCUGCAGAAGAAGCGACGGCUAAAUACGUG